AGACCCGAAACCCGGUGAUCUAGCCAUGGGCAGGUUGAAGGUUGGGUAACACUAACUGGAGGACCGAACCGACUAAUGUUGAAAAAUUAGCGGAUGACUUGUGGCUGGGGGUGAAAGGCCAAUCAAACCGGGAGAUAGCUGGUUCUCCCCGAAAGCUAUUUAGGUAGCGCCUCGUGAAUUCAUCUCCGGGGGUAGAGCACUGUUUCGGCAAGGGGGUCAUCCCGACUUACCAACCCGAUGCAAACUGCGAAUACCGGAGAAUGUUAUCACGGGAGACACACGGCGGGUGCUAACGUCCGUCGUGAAGAGGGAAACAACCCAGACCGCCAGCUAAGGUCCCAAAGUCAUGGUUAAGUGGGAAACGAUGUGGGAAGGCCCAGACAGCCAGGAUGUUGGCUUAGAAGCAGCCAUCAUUUAAAGAAAGCGUAAUAGCUCACUGGUCGAGUCGGCCUGCGCGGAAGAUGUAACGGGGCUAAACCAUGCA
This 484-nucleotide ribosomal RNA is filed under the name Escherichia coli. RNAcentral's name for it is "partial 23S ribosomal RNA". It matches the Rfam family "Bacterial large subunit ribosomal RNA", at positions 711 to 1193 of the family's 2925-position model. The record is from RNAcentral. Lineage: Bacteria; Pseudomonadati; Pseudomonadota; Gammaproteobacteria; Enterobacterales; Enterobacteriaceae. RNAcentral also lists the same sequence under 2 other names.